Rattus norvegicus (Norway rat) is the source of this 2913-nucleotide long non-coding RNA. RefSeq lists it as uncharacterized. Lineage: Eukaryota; Metazoa; Chordata; Mammalia; Rodentia; Muridae. The record is from RefSeq and is a predicted model, not a curated record.
AACUUAAUGGAGGAAGCAUAUAUUUUGGCUUUCAGUCCAUCAUGGCAGAGUCCAUUGCAGUAGCUGCAUCUGGGGAAGUUGGGGAGGAUCUGGUCUCUGCUUGCUGGACCUCUUACAUACCUGCCCUUCCAUCCUGGCCAGGAUCACAAGGAAAGAGUGGAACUUGGCUUUGGGCUGGCUAUUGGCUACUAGCUAUACUCCUGCUGGCUACAUUCAUAAUGAGUGUAAGGCCCCUCAGACCAUGGUGUACCAGGAAUCAGAGACACAGGGAACCAGAGGCUGGGCAAUGAUCUUCAAAGUCCUGCCUCUUGUGACCUACUUCUGCCAGUCCAGGCCCCAUCUCCUAAAGCCCCACACCCUACCUCAACAGCAACACCGGCUAGAGAACAAGGGCACAGCAUGUGAGUCUGUGGGGACAGCUCCGUUCAGAAGGGUUCGACCAUGCAUUUUCAUAGACUCAGUACACACUCAGCAUUUACAUCUGGAGCCCUUGAACCUUUAAGACCCACCAAAUGAUAAACUGAGGCCAGGAAAUCCAUUCCCAGAAGCCCUCAGACUUGCAACCCCAGCCCUUGGGAGGGCAAGGCAGGAGGAUUGCUGGAAUAUGAGGACAGAUUGAGGCCUCAGAAAUACAGACUAAGAAAGAAGCCUGAUGGCCAGUGUAGGUUUUCUGUCUUCAGUCUCCUGGGCAACCAUGCUAAUCUUUUGCUUUCCUGCUGUUCUCCACCUGUGUACAGGUAAAACCAGGCUGAACAAAGCCUCCCUGUCCCUACCUGGUUUUUCUGGCCAACUUCCAAUCCCCCACCUCUACGGCCUGGAGUUCAGGUAGACAAAAUAAUAAUCUCUGGUGGGGUUGCUGUUGCAAUGCCCGUUCGCUGGCACCAGGCCAGGCUCUUAGGAACUGCGUCAGAAAAUGCCAGUGAGUGAAAUUCCAAAGCAGUGUGAGUCACCAGGGACCCAGGAGGACAGGCCAAGUCCUACCAGGAGUCUGAGGGCAGCUAAAUGGGCCUCCAAGGGAGGCAGAAGCUAGGCCAGGCACCAGGAACACUUACCUGGACAAAAGCAAGAACAGGUAGUUUAUCCUGGGCUCUGUACAGGCCUAGAGGUGGGGAUAGGGUAGGGAGGGGUGGGGUGUAAGAGCAGGAGGCCAGCCCCCAGGCCAUCUCCUGGUUACCAGAGCAUUUACCUGCUUUCUCAUAGGCUAGGAUUUGUAUCCCAGCCUUAAAAUCCAAUAGGUUUCUAAACACAUCCCCUUCCCCUCCAACAACCUGGCCCAGUCUACCACUGUCUACAGACAAGAAAUAGUGACAGGCCAGCUGGGCCUCUAAAGAGACACAGCAGGUAAGUUUAUGUCCCUUGGCACUGUACUGGAAGAAGGGAAAGGGUUCUCUCACCCCAGCUCCUCUGCUUUUAGUAUUGGGUCUCUUAUGAAAGGUUUCAGACAGAUGAAGAAAAAGAGUGGGUGGUUGAGAAGCCUGGUGCUGAAUCUGUCAGUCCGUAGCAUCCUUUGAACUGUGGUCCAGCAGCUACCUGUGGCUUCCAGAUUAGAAUAGGAGACAAAGGACAUUUGCCUGCUGUGGAUGUCACCAGCAGGAACAUAGCUGGUAGCCAGUGGCCAGUGCAAACCUGGGUUCCAUUCUUUCCUUGUGACUCUGGCCAAGAUGGGAAGGAAGGUAUGGAAGAGAUCAUUGGGUAAGCAGGCGCCAGACUCCCCCCUGGUCCCCCAACUUCCCCAGACCAUUGAAUUCUUAUUCAUCAAAGAGAACACAGGGUGGGAUGGGCCACAUUAACAGUUGUGAUGUUGGGGCCACCUUGGUCUUCAAGGGUCACCUAAUCUCCUGCCUCUCCUAAUCCUUAGGGCCCCUGCCUAUGCCUCAUGUGCUCCAGGAAAGUGUCUUCUGUCCUAGUGUUUCCAGCCUUUGGGAUAGAUUUGCAUCUUCUGACUCCCAAUCCCUGGAUGGCCUUCCAUACUUUGGGAACUCUCAAUCCUUUAGGCAAUAGAAUCUGUGGACAGAAAGAGAUAGAUCAAUAGCCCAAAUUCUAACUCCCCCCACUUCCCUGCCCUGAACCCUUACAAUUUGUUCCUCUUUCCAUUCCCAGCUGACCAAGAGCAUGCUGGCUUCCAGCAAACACCCCAUUCCUGCCCAGAGGAUUGGUCCCUUGCAGUAGUAGCUGAGAGAGAGGCUCUUUCGAUCUCUAGGAGGAAUAGCACAGAGAUCAGGCCUGAGCCUGAGGCUUCUUGGGACUUGCAAGUGUCCCCGCUGGGUAAUUCAGCCAUUCGAAAACCAGCCCUGGAAAGAAUGAGGUUCUGAGGAGAUCAGAGAUGCUACAGCUGCCGACGUUCUCCCAUCACUGUAGUUCUCUCAAGAAACUUCAGCUCAGUAGUCCCUCCGGCCAGACCUUUGAGCAAUGUCCCUUAGGGUCCUCGGUGUCCUGCCUACUCACCUUGUAAGCUAUCUUCCACAUCUAUUCCCAGCCCUGUGGUCCUCAACUCAUGUUUGCUGAGUCCUAAUUUGCUCUGGAGCUGCUCCCAUGCAAAGAAUGACUGACUGCAUCUAACCUUCCAUGCUUCCCAGCACCCUUAUUGGAUCUUCCUUCCCUUUUGCCACUUCCACCAGGAUCCUGGAGGGAAUCCAGCAUCAUGGGAAGACAAAGAAAAGGCUGGUAUAGCCCAUGGGAGACCUCUCAGAACAACACAAAUCUGUAAGACUGCAAUGAGGCGGGCUGGAGAGAUGGCUCAGCGAUUAAGAGCACCCGACUACUCUUCCAGAGGUCCUGAGUUCAAUUCCCAGCAACUACAUGGUGGCUCACAAAUAUCUGUAAAGAGAUCCAAUGCCCUCUUCUGGUGUAUCUGAAGACAGCUACAGUGUACUUAUAUAUAAUAAAUGAAUAAAUCUUUAAAAAAAAAAAAAA